GCUGGUGACUUAUCAUAAAGGCCACACCUGGUUCCAUUCCGAACCCAGAAGUUAAGCUUUAAAGAGGCGAUGGUACUCCGAAAGGGGAAGAGUAGCCAGUCGCCGGCU
RNAcentral lists this ribosomal RNA (108 nucleotides) under Candidatus Campbellbacteria bacterium CG22_combo_CG10-13_8_21_14_all_36_13. Lineage: Bacteria; Candidatus Campbelliibacteriota. The record is from RNAcentral.